AAUCUUCAAGAAUGUUCAGAUCACUAGGUUCUAAUCUGCUGAUCUUUAACACUUUCCAGAACGUUCGGUUCUUGUCUCUUCCAAUCAGAUAAAAAUUCGAACGCGUCUCAUAUAGCCUGAAUUUCUGCAAGCAGUGAGAAUUGGGAUCAGGUUUAUCAUGAAUCCAGCUUUGCUGCUCAGUCUCCGCACCCAUAGUGUCGAUCUCCGAGCCUCAAGGCCCGGCCUCACCACCAAAAACCAAAAUCUCAACUACGCAAAACUCAAAUUCAACAGCGAACCUCCCUCGCUGCAGAAAAAUUCUCAAAAACCUCAAUCAGAAAAACACUAGUCACACAUCUACCCUCGCAAGACGAAGGCGAAAGAGAAAAUGCUCAAGAGCAGUAGAGGCCAUAAGAAUCAAAGAACCAAAAGAAGAACAGAACAACAUCCAA
This 431-nucleotide unclassified non-coding RNA is filed under the name Hevea brasiliensis (rubber tree). Lineage: Eukaryota; Viridiplantae; Streptophyta; Magnoliopsida; Malpighiales; Euphorbiaceae. The record is from RNAcentral.